Molecule: ribosomal RNA, 279 nt
Filed under: uncultured bacterium
Lineage: Bacteria
Description: partial 16S ribosomal RNA
Rfam family: Bacterial small subunit ribosomal RNA
Source: RNAcentral
UGCCAGCAGCCGCGGUAACACGGAGAGUGCAAGCGUUAUUCGGAAUUACUGGGCUUAAAGCGCGUGCAGGCGGGAUAUCAGGUGUUGUGUGAAAACCCUAGGCUCAACCUGGGAAUUGCAUGGCAAACCGGUAUUCUUGAGGCAGGUAGAGGCGACCGGAACGACUGGUGGAGCGGUGAAAUGCGUAGAUAUCAGUUGGAACGCCGGUGGCGAAAGCGGGUCGCUGGACCUGGCCUGACGCUGAGACGCUAAAGCGUGGGGAGCGAAGAGGAUUAGAUA